Molecule: ribosomal RNA, 405 nt
Filed under: Triticum aestivum (bread wheat)
Lineage: Eukaryota; Viridiplantae; Streptophyta; Magnoliopsida; Poales; Poaceae
Description: partial small subunit ribosomal RNA
Source: RNAcentral
AUGUUGCGUAUGAAGUGUGCUCUAAAAGAUAGCGUAUAUGUCACUAUAGAAGAAAAGGUUGCCAUGUUCUUAUUGGUGGUUGGACAUGGUAUCAAAAUGAGAUUGGUGCAUGACACUUACAAGCGUUCUUUAGAGACUAUUAGUAGGCACUUCUCGAAUGUGUUAACAACUACCAUUUCCCUAAGUGGGGAGUUUAUCAAGCUUCCUGAUCAUUCUAUCAAACCUCCGGAUGAUUACAAAUGGAAGUGGUUCGACAAUGCCUUGGGAGCACUGGAUGGGCAUGUUGAUGUUUCUGUCGUUGCGACUGACGAAGCAAGGUAUAGGUACAGGAAGCAAGCUAUCACCACUAACAUGCUAGGUGUUGUUGAAUGGAACAUGAAAUUUCUUUAUGUUCUACCUGGCUAG